GGCGCCAAGUUCGUCCAGCGGAAAAAGGCCACAAAAACGGGUGGGCUAUAGCCUUGGCGGGUGGGGCUGGCCAACUUCGUCCGCCGGACUCGGAAUGCCGUGAGACUUUGCGAGGGGCCUCCGUGUUCCAAAAAUAGGCCGCGGGCAAAACUGCACCAAAAAUUAUCCGCCCGAAGGCCGGGGCGCCAAGUUCGUCCAGCGAAAAAAGGCUACAAAAACGGGUGGGCUAUAGCUUGGGGGGUGGGGCAGGCCGAUUUCGUAGGCCGGACUCGGAAUGCCGCGAGACUUUACGAGGGGCCUCCGUGUGCCAAAUAUAGGCCGUGGGCAAUGCCGCGCCCAAAAAUAACCGCCCGACGGCCGGGGCGCUAACUUCGUCCCACGGAAAAAGGCCACAAAAACGGGUGGGCUAUAGCCUUGGGGGCUGAUGCUGGCCAACUUCGUCCGCCGGACUCGGAAUGCAGCGAGACUUAUCGAGGGGCCUCCGUGUGCCAAAAAUAGGCCACGGGCAAAGCCACGCCCAAAAUUAACCGCCCGAAGGCCGGGGCGCCAAGUUCGUCCAGCGGAAAAAGGCCACAAAAACGGGUGGGCUA
RNAcentral lists this long non-coding RNA (590 nucleotides) under Citrus x clementina. RNAcentral describes it as "Citrus clementina (C. clementina) long non-coding RNA (CCLE_LNC004837)". The record is from RNAcentral. Lineage: Eukaryota; Viridiplantae; Streptophyta; Magnoliopsida; Sapindales; Rutaceae.